CGCAAGAACAUCUGAGAUCGCCGCAAGAAACAUGUGGAGUGGUGACAAAUGCGGCAUGCGGUGACGUCCCUUCGUUGGAAAGUGUUUUGAGACCGAAAGAAUCGCAGCGUGACGACGAUAAGUUCCCGAGUACGUGGAUUUGUCGUUAGAAAACGCGAAAGAUAUUCUACGAGAAUGCACAAAACCGUGAGCCGAUGGUUUCGGCCGAUGACUGUAUACGAGGUGUUUUAAAUCGUCUGUAAUGUGAAUAAAUGUGUGGUGGGCGCUGUUAAA
Molecule: long non-coding RNA, 273 nt
Organism: Dermacentor silvarum
Lineage: Eukaryota; Metazoa; Arthropoda; Arachnida; Ixodida; Ixodidae
Exons: 2
Source: RefSeq, a predicted model, not a curated record